GAGUUUGAUCAUGGCUCAGAACGUACGCUGGCGGCACGCCUAACACAUGCAAGUCGAACGCAGUAGCAAUACUGAGUGGCAAACGGGUGAGUAUAAUGUGGGAAUCUGCCUUUUGGUUUGGAAUAACACGGGGAAACUUGUGCUAAUACCGAAUAAGCCCUUACGGGGAAAGUUUUAACGCCGAAAGAUGAGCCUGCACUUGAUUAGCUAGUUGGUAAGGUAAAAGCUUACCAAGGCAACGAUCAAUAGCUGUUCUUAGAGGAAGACCAGCCACAUUGGGACUGAGACACGGCCCAGACUCCUACGGGAGGCAGCAGUGGGGAAUCUUGCACAAUGGGGGAAACCCUGAUGCAGCGAUGCCGCGUGAGUGAAGAAGGCCCUUGGGUUGUAAAACUCUUUCGUCGGGGAAGAAAAUGACUGUACCCGAAUAAGAAGGUCCGGCUAACUUCGUGCCAGCAGCCGCGGUAAUACGAAGGGACCUAGCGUAGUUCGGAAUUACUGGGCUUAAAGAGCUCGUAGGUGGUUAAAAAAGUUGAUGGUGAAAUCCCAAGGCUCAACCUUGGAACUGCCAUCAAAACUUUUUAGCUAGAGUGUGAUAGAGGUAAGUGGAAUUUCUAGUGUAGAGGUGAAAUUCGUAGAUAUUAGAAAGAACACCAAAUGCGAAGGCAACUUACUGGGUCACUACUGACACUGAGGAGCGAAAGCAUGGGUAGCGAAGAGGAUUAGAUACCCUCGUAGUCCAUGCCGUAAACGAUGUGUGCUAGACGUUGGAAAUAUAUUUUUCAGUGUCGCAGCGAAAGCAUUAAGCACACCGCCUGGGGAGUACGA
Molecule: ribosomal RNA, 828 nt
Filed under: uncultured bacterium
Lineage: Bacteria
Description: bacterial SSU rRNA
Rfam family: Bacterial small subunit ribosomal RNA
Source: RNAcentral